This 492-nucleotide ribosomal RNA is filed under the name uncultured bacterium. RNAcentral's name for it is "partial 16S ribosomal RNA". It matches the Rfam family "Bacterial small subunit ribosomal RNA", at positions 29 to 507 of the family's 1533-position model. The record is from RNAcentral.
AGUGAACGCUGGCGGUAGGCCUAACACAUGCAAGUCGAACGGCAGCACAGUAAGAGCUUGCUCUUACGGGUGGCGAGUGGCGGACGGGUGAGGAAUACAUCGGAAUCUACUUUUUCGUGGGUGAUAACGUAGGGAAACUUACGCUAAUACCGCAUACGACCUACGGGUGAAAGCAGGGGAUCUUCGGACCUUGCGCGAUUGAAUUAGCCGAUGUCGGAUUAGCUAGUUGGCGGGGUAAAGGCCCACCAAGGCGACGAUCCGUAGCUGGUCUGAGAGGAUGAUCAGCCACACUGGAACUGAGACACGGUCCAGACUCCUACGGGAGGCAGCAGUGGGGAAUAUUGGACAAUGGGCGCAAGCCUGAUCCAGCCAUACCGCGUGGGUGAAGAAGGCCUUCGGGUUGUAAAGCCCUUUUGUUGGGAAAGAAAAGCAGCAGGUUAAUACCCCGCUGUUCUGACGGUACCCAAAGAAUAAGCACCGGCUAACUUCGUG